Talpa occidentalis (Iberian mole) is the source of this 1823-nucleotide long non-coding RNA. RefSeq lists it as uncharacterized. The record is from RefSeq and is a predicted model, not a curated record. NCBI's taxonomy places the organism in Eukaryota, Metazoa, Chordata, Mammalia, Eulipotyphla, Talpidae. The transcript has 3 exons.
UGUAAGCACAUCGGGUUCAGCUCUGUUCCCUCAAGCAGAGGAGCAGAGAAAGAAAGCAGUUGGGGCCAAAGGACCGUUCUGACGCUUUCUCCUACUGUCUUGCCACAGUCUGAAUUUCUGCUUUUAUACAGUUCUGUGGAUUGCAUGACUGAAGUUCUUCCUUUAUUCAGAACGCAUUUGUCGGAUGGGAAUGUUCAUAGCAGCACGAUUCUAACAGCCAAGAGGCAGAACCAAGCCGAGGGCUAUCUCCGGAGAAGGGGACAGCACACGUGGUCUGGACAGCGGCACGACUCAGGCCCACGGGGGGACGGACGCACUGGACGGCGUGGGCGCUCAGGGAGGCCAGCGGGAAGCGCCAUGCUGUCGGCAUCCACUGACGGGACGCUGUCACCGUAGGGGAGGAAGACUGAAUCCUGGAACCAGUGCAGCCACCAUUCUUUCAGGACUGGUUCUGCCUCAGGGCAUGGGCCUCACCCACAGAAAGAAGCCAAGAACACAGAGAAAGUCGGAACCUGGAUGUUGUGAGCCCCUGGAGCAAACCAUUCUUGAGGCUGGAUCUGCCUCUGAAUUUUACAGUUAUGGGAGUCAAUAAAACCUUUUCAAAUGCACAUAUUUUUUGGGGGGUAAGUGUAGCACCCAUGAUUGUGGACAGGUGGGCCCGGAGAGUGCGGCGUGUGCGUGUGUAAGUGCUCACACCUGGGCAAGAGGUGUGGGCUGAAAGGGAGGCGUCUCUCUGAGGCGAGAUGAUGAGAGGACGCGAGACUGAGGGCGAGAACGCCAGAGAGAAAGCAGGUCUGUCCCGAUGCAGCACUAGAGGCCUGCAAAAUCCACCGACAGCGCCGAAAUUCUCUUUUCAUCCGUGAGAACGAACGAGGAUGGCGGCACGUCAGUAAGUUUCCCGUCUCUUGCAACCAAAAACUUCCCGACUCCUGCAGUCAGUCGCCUGUCGUCUUGCUGAGCUCCUCCAACUGGCUGGCUGUUUUUCUUGCUGAUCCGUAGACGCACUAGUGACACUUAGAAGUGCCUUCAGGGGUAAAGAGAUGCUUUUGCACCACCAGCUAUUAUUAAAUCCACCUCCUGGGGUUACACUGGUGCCAGGCCCAGGGUCCCUGCAAACUUCACCAACAGGGGGUGCCGUCACGCCAUGUACCCACCCGCUCAGGACAGCCAGCCCGAGUAGCUUGGACUCGCAUUUUGCUUUCCCUGAGCGAGGCCAGGCAUCCUUUCAUUUGCUUCAAGGCGGUUGGUGUUGUUCUCCUGCGGGCCAACCACCUGUUGCACAUUCACCUUCCCACCUCCUCCCGGCAUCUCUCCUGCUGUAAUAUCCCCUUAUCCCACCGUCGUCCUUCUGACAUCUCACCCUCCUCAGGCUCUAGUCCCGGCUCUCACCCGACUCCUCUCCCGCAGCUCUUUGCCUCCCCCGCCCCUUUCUUUCCUGCUUUCUCACUCUCGUGCCAUCUUUUCUCCUCUGCAGCUGCUGCUCCCGUGCCUGCUGCCUGUCUCCAGCACCGUCCUCUCACCUCUGUUCUCUCCCUCCUGUUCCCUCUGUCACAAAAGGUGAGCCUCCCCCUUGUGGGUCUGCCCAGUGUGGACGCUGUCCUCUCGCUUCUCCACCCCCUUAAUCCUUUUCCUCCUCCGUCUCGCUGCUGCUGCUCAGAACUGCCGCUCUUGGGCUGUUUUCUCUCUCUCCUUCCCCGCCCCCUUCUCUCUCCCGCGUCCUCUGUUAUCUUCUCUUUUCCAAGACUCUUCCUCUCUGACUGCUUCUGGGUGUGGGGACUGGUCAUCUGAGCUUAUGAGGGGCCCUUCCCGCAGCUCCCAAGGAG